GACGUAGGGUCCAAGCGUUGUCCGGAUUUACUGGGCGUAAAGAGCGCGUAGGCGGCUCGUUAAGUGUGAAGCUAAAUCCCCGGGCUCAACCCGGAAACUAUUUCGCAUACUGGCGAGCUGGAGUGAUGCAGAGGUUUGUGGAAUUCCUGGUGUAGCGGUGAAAUGCGUUGAUAUCAGGAGGAACACCCAUGGCGAAGGCAGCAAACUGGGCAUUAACUGACGCUGAGGCGCGAAAGCGUGGGUAGCAAACAG
Molecule: ribosomal RNA, 252 nt
Filed under: uncultured bacterium
Lineage: Bacteria
Description: partial 16S ribosomal RNA
Rfam family: Bacterial small subunit ribosomal RNA
Source: RNAcentral